UCUAAGUUAAGUCUAUAGAUGUUUGAAAGUCAAGGCUGAGCUAUCAUCAGAAGCAGUGGACUGUCCACCAAGAGGGCCCCAGAAGGGCGUUGCCAUGGUGAACUGGCCAUCAUCCAAGAGUUGGAAAACACAGAAGCAUGGAUCUUAAUUGCCACACGGAAGCAACUGAGGGGUGCGGAGGGGCAGCUGCCCUUUACUGGGUGGGGCAACAGGCCCCCAAGCCACUAAACAGCCUGAGAGGAUGCCUACCGCCCUGGCUUUGCCAGAAUCCCUGACUGCUCACGGUUGAUUGCUUUCAGGAUCUGUGCACUGAAGAUAUACUGGAUUAUGUACAAGCACAGAGUUGACACCUCUUGCCUGUGACAUCUUGAAAGAGGUUCCAGGCCUUCCCAGAAGGCAUAAUGCUUCCAAGUCACAGAGAUGCUCUUCGUGCCCUUGAAGAAAUAAUCUGCCAUGUUGUGGAGAGGGGCAUGUGACAGGAAAUGGCUGAAUUAUGUCAACCAGUGAGCUUGGAAGGAACCCCAAGACUCAGCAGUCAUGAAUCUGAGCAGUCACCCUCUCCCUGAUACAUGGAGCCUUGAAGUGAAAGAGUGAAGACAAGGCAAGAACUAACAUCUAUUGAGCACCAACAAUGUACCAGGAACUCUGCUAGAAAC
Eptesicus fuscus (big brown bat) is the source of this 656-nucleotide long non-coding RNA. RefSeq lists it as uncharacterized. The transcript has 6 exons. The record is from RefSeq and is a predicted model, not a curated record. Lineage: Eukaryota; Metazoa; Chordata; Mammalia; Chiroptera; Vespertilionidae.